This 270-nucleotide ribosomal RNA is filed under the name uncultured archaeon. Its description in RNAcentral is "partial 16S ribosomal RNA". It matches the Rfam family "Archaeal small subunit ribosomal RNA", at positions 477 to 747 of the family's 1478-position model. The record is from RNAcentral.
CAGCACCUCAAGUGGUCAGGAGGAUUAUUGGGCCUAAAGCAUCCGUAGCCGGCUCUGUAAGUUUUCGGUUAAAUCUGUACGCUCAACGUACAGGCUGCCGGGAAUACUGCAGCGCUAGGGAGUGGGAGAGGUAGACGGUACUCGGUAGGAAGGGGUAAAAUCCUUUGAUCUAUUGAUGACCACCUGUGGCGAAGGCGGUCUACCAGAACACGUCCGACGGUGAGGGAUGAAAGCUGGGGGAGCAAACCGGAUUAGAUACCCGAGUAGUCC